UACGGAGGGUGCGAGCGUUGUUCGGAAUCACUGGGCGUAAAGGGCGUGUAGGCGGUCCGCUAAGUCUGAUGUGAAAGCCCGGGGCUCAACCCCGGAACGUCUUUUGAAACUGCCAAGCUAGAGUGCGGAAGAGGCAACUGGAAUUCCCAGUGUAGCGGUGAAAUGCGUAGAUAUUGGGAAGAACACCUGAGGCGAAGGCGGGUUGCUGGGCCGACACUGACGCUGAGGCGCGAAAGCGUGGGGAGCAAACAGG
This 253-nucleotide ribosomal RNA is filed under the name uncultured bacterium. Its description in RNAcentral is "partial 16S ribosomal RNA". It matches the Rfam family "Bacterial small subunit ribosomal RNA", at positions 524 to 776 of the family's 1533-position model. The record is from RNAcentral.